RNAcentral lists this long non-coding RNA (4315 nucleotides) under Brassica napus (rape). Its description in RNAcentral is "long non-coding RNA (BNAP_LNC011372)". The record is from RNAcentral. Lineage: Eukaryota; Viridiplantae; Streptophyta; Magnoliopsida; Brassicales; Brassicaceae.
UAACAUUUUAUCUAUUGAAAAAUUUAAUUUUUAUUUAUUUUUUAAAAUUUGAAAUCUUAUCCCAAAACCCCACGCUCCAACUCUAAACCCUAAAACCUAAACUUUGAAACCUAAACCCUAAAUUCUAAACCCUAAACUCUAAACCUUAAACCCUAAAUCCUAAACCCCAUCCUUUAACUCUAAACCCUAAUGUCUAAAUUAAUUUACCAUUAGGGUAUAAAUGUAUAUUUAUCUCUUUUGAUAAAACAUUAAAUACUACUAUUUUGAUCAUUUUUAUUCUUAGAAACUAUAUUUGUGACAAAAAACUUUUUUAGUGCUAUCCUAGUCAUUUUCUCAACAAAAUAGUUGACCAACAAAAAAAGAGAACAGAACAAAAUUGUAAUAUUUGAUCAAAAAAACAAAAUUGUAGUGUUUCACACUGUAUUUAAAUAUUUAAUAAAAAUGUCACCUCCAUUUUUCAACCCAUUUAAUUUUCAUCCUCUCCACUCUCUUUAUAAACACAUCUCUCUCUACGCUUAAAAAAGUCAGCGCUCUCUUUUGUCUCCUUUGCUUUCUCUUCUCUCCACAGAGAUUCUCAGAAGCCUUUGUCUCUCCUGAGAAAUCAAAUCAAUGGCGGACGAUUGGGAUCUACACGCCGUAGUCAGAGGUUGCUCAGCCGUCAGCUCAUCUGCAACCACCGUCUUCUCUGGCGCCGUUUCAUCUCACACGAACCCUAUGUUCACCUACGAAGAACAGAGUAAAGCAGUCUUGUUCAGAGAUAUUCAAGACUUCUACACGCCGUUCACACAAGAAUCAAAUGUAUCCUCGUUUUCUUGUCUGAAUUAUCCAGAAGAACCCAGACAGAGACAAAACCAGAAACGUCCUCUUUCUCUCUCUGCUUCUUCUGGUAGCGUCACUAGCAAACCCACCGGCUCCAAUACCUCUAGAUCUAAAAGAAGGUUCGUUUAUUUUUCUUACCAGUUCAACAAGAACCACUAAAGCUUAAACCUUUUGACGAACCCAUGAAGAAGUUUAUGAAAUUUUGCGUUUUAUUUGUCGAAUCCUCCAAGAAAUUUUGUGUUUUUUUUGUUGGACCCCAUCAACUUAUUUUCGAAUUUAAAUAUGUGUAGAUAGAUGUCUAAAACGUCUCUGUGUUGUGUUGCUUGUUUCAGAAAGAUACAGCAUAAGAAAGUGUGCCAUGUAGCAGCAGAGGCUUUAAACUCCGAUGUUUGGGCAUGGCGAAAGUACGGACAAAAACCCAUCAAAGGUUCACCCUAUCCAAGGUACUAUACAUGAAAAAGAUUAAUUGUUCUUUAAAGACUUAUGAAUGUGUGUAUUCUUUCGAGACAAAACACUUGUCCGUCUUUGUGACUCUGCUUUAAAUGAUCUCUGUUUCUAUUUCUAAUGUACGUCCGUUUAAAACAGAGGAUACUACAGAUGUAGUACAUCAAAAGGAUGUUUAGCCCGUAAACAAGUGGAGCGAAACAGAUCCGACGCGACGAUUUUUAUUGUCACUUACACGGCUGAGCAUAACCACCCAGCUCCUACUCACCGUAAUUCUCUCGCCGGGAGCACUCGUCAGAAAUCAUCUGAUCACCCGACGACCACGAUUGCUACUUAUUCAUCGUCUCCGGUGACGUCAACAGACGAGUUUGUCUUGCCUGCGGAGGAUCUAGCGGUCGGAGAUCUAGACGGAGACGAGGAUUUGUUGUCUUUGUCGGAUACAGUGGUGAGCGAGGAUUUCUUCGAGGGGUUGGAGGAGUUCGCCGGCGGAGAUAGCUUUUCCGGGAAUUCUUCUCCGGCUAGUUUUGAUCUCUCUUGGGUUGUAAACAGUGGCGCCGCAAUUAGCGGCGGAAUAUGAUUCGCGGGGGACUAGACGACGGCUUAGAAUAACUCUUUUAGGAAUAAGAUUAUAGUAUUUUUUUUUUGUUUAAAUUUAAAUUUUGAUUAUAUUAUGUUUAUUUAAUAUAUAAAUAUUAUAAUCUAUUAAAAAAAUAUAAAUAGUAUAAUCUAUGAUUUGUCUGUGAUACGCGUGGAAUAUUUGCCAUUUGUUUAGUGACUUAAACGUAUUUGAAAAUAUUCAUUUUCAACGUUAGUUUGUGGAUGAGAAAUGUCGAUUGGAAUUUAAUAGUGUGUGUUUGUUAUUAUAUACCCUUGAAAUGCUAAUGUAACGUUGCCGUAGGGAGUUUGUGAAGGUUAUUUGUUUCAUCUGAAUGUAAAUGUCUGUGCACCAGCAUUCGAUAUUCUUUUUCGGUUUAGGAAAUUGUUGUAAUUAGAGAGUUUAGAGACUGAAUAUUUCUGUGUUCUUAUUAAUGAACAAGGAUUCCUUAUAUAAGGAUUACAAGAUAAAGAUAAAUGGAAAGAGUACAUAUCAUAAUCCAACAGGAAAUAGGAAAACUACUAAAACAUAGAAAAGGAAAACAUCAUAAGUUCUAAGUCGGCUAGAUCAUUGGUCGACUCUCUCUCCUCCUUGCGGCCGCGGUUGGGCUUGAUGUGGCCGACAGGCUUUCUUCUCUUGUCUUGGUUAAUGGCAAUCCACUCCAUGAUUUAUAACACUCCCCCUUGGAUGCCAUAACCAUACAAGUUUUCUAGUACGCUUCAUGUUGCCUCAUUAAAACCUUAUCAGGAAAACCCAGUGGGACAAAACCAUGAUAAAGGAAAAAGAGUACAACACGCACUACUCCCCCUGAUGUGAACCUCAGUGUAGGUUCUACAUUCUACGCAUCUUGGUGCGUGAUAUUUCUUGUAUGUAUAGGAUGGGAGUAAUCGGCCAGUUUCAUUACUGAACCGUAAUUAGACCACUUCGACUUCUUAGGUCGUUUCUCAUGUCCUUUGACAUCGAGUGUCCCGGUAAAGCAUAUGUGCUAAGCAAUGUGAAUCACAUUGUCCUCGGAGAUCACUAUUGGGUCUUUGCAAAUCGUGUUUGCAUAUGUCCAUAGUCUAGACGUGAUCGUCUACUCUUAACUCUUUACUAUGGUCGGAUAAACCAAGUACUCAUGGACAAUGUACUAAACAUGGUUAUCAUGAACCUAUGUCUCGGUGUAUCUUCUAUACACAGAUGUAUAUCAAUGGCUUUAUAAUUUUACCAUACUAUGGCUUAUUGGCCAGAACAUAUUCAUGAUCCAUACAUAUGGUCAUCGAUCUUUCUUGCUUUAGGCAAUACCAUAUGUAUUUAUCUCGGACAUUGCAGUCCUUUAUCCAUCUCUUGAUGGUGUCUCAUGACCUCUGUUGCUGUGGAUUAUAUCACACACUGAAAUAUAUAUUAUUAGGUCAUAGAUCUCGGCUCUCACAAGCUUAUGGACUACAAUACAUUUGUAUCCGGUUGAUCUUUUGUCUCUACUAGCCCGUGAUCAAGAAGAAGGGCCAGACGCCUUUUAGUCUUAAAAGCCGGACGCGUCUAGUAGAAGAGCCAGACGAGCUAUAAGCAACUCAUAUUACUCUGUACACUUGUUUCAUGUUCACAUAGUAUUAUUCUAACCAUACAGCACAUAUAUAUUUUUAAUCAACUGUAAAAUAAAACAUGUUUACACAAAAAAAGAAAUUUGUUUUAGAGGAUUCCCAAUAUAUGUUCGGAUCCAAAGUCAGAUUGCUAGCUAGCUAUAAGCAACUCAUAUUACUCUGUACACUUGUUUCAUGUUCACAUAGUAUUAUUCUAACCAUACAGCACAUAUAUAUUUUUAAUCAACUGUAAAAUAAAACAUGUUUACACAAAAAAAGAAAUUUGUUUUAGAGGAUUCCCAAUAUAUGUUCGGAUCCAAAGUCAGAUUGCUAGCUAGCUAUAAGCAACUCAUAUUACUCUGUACACUUGUUUCAUGUUCACAUGGUAUUAUCUUAUUUAUUUACCACAUAUGUUACUAGUUUCAUGUUUAUUAAUUGUUUUAGUAUGGUUACCAAGUAGGCAAGUACCACCUUCUGUACUACAUACUCUAUAAUUUAUUUUUAACAGGGCAAAUUUCCAAAAUAGCACAUUUCUAAGUUUAUGUCACAAAAAUAGUCCUCAAAAACUAAAAUGACUAAAAUAGCAUUUUAUCUUUUGAAAAUUUUAAUUUUUUUAUUUUUUUAUUUUUCAAAAUUUGAAAUCUUAUCCCAAAACCCAACUCCCCAACUCUAAACCCUAAAACCUAAACUCUAGACCCUAAACCCUAAACUCUAAACCCUAAACUCUAAACCCCACCCCUUAACUCUAAACCCUAAAUCCUAAACUCCACCCCUUAACUUUAAAUCCUAAACCCUAAAUCCCACCCCUAAACUCUAAACCCUAAACCCUAAACUCUAAACCUUAAACCAUAAACCCUAAACCCUAAAUCCUAAACCCCACCCCUUAACUCUAAACCCU